UAAACCUGGUUGAUCCUGCCAGUAGUCAUAUGCUUGUCUCAAAGACUAAGCCAUGCAUGUCUAAGUAUAAGUGUUAUACAGCGAAACUGCGAAUGGCUCAUUAAAACAGUUAUAGUUUAUUUGACAAUCGAAUUUACAUGGAUAACCGUGGUAAUUCUAGAGCUAAUACAUGCUGGUGUGCCCGACUUUUCGGA
RNAcentral lists this ribosomal RNA (194 nucleotides) under uncultured eukaryote. Its description in RNAcentral is "partial 18S ribosomal RNA". It matches the Rfam family "Eukaryotic small subunit ribosomal RNA", at positions 1 to 196 of the family's 1831-position model. The record is from RNAcentral.